Molecule: ribosomal RNA, 460 nt
Filed under: uncultured bacterium
Lineage: Bacteria
Description: SSU rRNA
Rfam family: Bacterial small subunit ribosomal RNA
Source: RNAcentral
AGGACAAACGCUGGCGGAAUGUAUUAGGCAUGCAAGUCGCACGAACCUUCGGGUUAGUGGCGGACGGGUGAGUAACACGUGGGUAACCUGCCUCGUAGUGGGGAAUAACUCGUCGAAAGGCGAGCUAAUACCGCAUAACACCCUCGGUGAGAUUCCGGGUGGUAAAAGCUCUGGCGCUACGAGAGGGGCCCGCGGCCGAUUAGCUUGUUGGUGGGGUAAUAGCCUACCAAGGCGACGAUCGGUAGCUGGUCUGAGAGGAUGGUCAGCCACACGGGGACUGAGAUACGGCCCCGACUCCUACGGGAGGCAGCAGCUAAGAUCUUGCGCAAUGGGCGAAAGCCUGACGCAGCAAUUCCGCGUGGGGGACGAAGGCCCUCGGGUCGUAAACCCCUUUUGUGAAGGAAGAAGUUCUGACGGUACUUCACGAAUAAGACACGGCUAACUACGUGCCAGCAGCCGC